RNAcentral lists this ribosomal RNA (369 nucleotides) under uncultured organism. RNAcentral's name for it is "bacterial SSU rRNA". It matches the Rfam family "Bacterial small subunit ribosomal RNA", at positions 526 to 896 of the family's 1533-position model. The record is from RNAcentral.
CGUAGGUGGCAAGCGUUGUCCGGAUUUAUUGGGUUUAAAGGGUGCGUAGGCGGUUUUCUAAGUCAGCAGUGAAAUACGGCAGCUCAACUGUCGAGGUGCUGUUGAUACUGGGGAACUUGAGUACUGAUGAGGUAGGCGGAAUGGACGGUGUAGCGGUGAAAUGCUUAGAGAUCGUCCAGAACACCGAUAGCGAAGGCAGCUUACUAAGGAGUAACUGACGCUGAGGCACGAAAGUGUGGGGGAUCAAACAGGAUUAGAUACCCUGGUAGUCCACACUGUAAACGAUGAUUACUCGAUGUGUGCGAUACACGGCACGCGUCUUAGCAAAAGCGAUAAGUAAUCCACCUGGGGAGUACGCCGGCAACGGUG